RNAcentral lists this ribosomal RNA (286 nucleotides) under Aeromonas caviae subsp. aquatica. Its description in RNAcentral is "partial 16S ribosomal RNA". It matches the Rfam family "Bacterial small subunit ribosomal RNA", at positions 1 to 281 of the family's 1533-position model. The record is from RNAcentral. Lineage: Bacteria; Pseudomonadati; Pseudomonadota; Gammaproteobacteria; Aeromonadales; Aeromonadaceae.
AAAUUGAAGAGUUUGAUCAUGGCUCAGAUUGAACGCUGGCGGCAGGCCUAACACAUGCAAGUCGAGCGGCAGCGGGAAAGUAGCUUGCUACUUUUGCCGGCGAGCGGCGGACGGGUGAGUAAUGCCUGGGAAAUUGCCCAGUCGAGGGGGAUAACAGUUGGAAACGACUGCUAAUACCGCAUGCGCCCUACGGGGGAAAGCAGGGGACCUUCGGGCCUUGCGCGAUUGGAUAUGCCCAGGUGGGAUUAGCUAGUUGGUGAGGUAAUGGCUCACCAAGGCGACGAUC